Molecule: ribosomal RNA, 439 nt
Filed under: uncultured Escherichia sp.
Lineage: Bacteria; Pseudomonadati; Pseudomonadota; Gammaproteobacteria; Enterobacterales; Enterobacteriaceae
Description: bacterial SSU rRNA
Rfam family: Bacterial small subunit ribosomal RNA
Source: RNAcentral
AUUGAACGCCGGCGGCAGGCCUAACACAUGCAAGUCGAACGGUAACAGGAAACAGCUUGCUGUUUCGCUGACGAGUGGCGGACGGGUGAGUAAUGUCUGGGAAACUGCCUGAUGGAGGGGGAUAACUACUGGAAACGGUAGCUAAUACCGCAUAACGUCGCAAGACCAAAGAGGGGGACCUUCGGGCCUCUUGCCAUCGGAUGUGCCCAGAUGGGAUUAGCUAGUAGGUGGGGUAACGGCUCACCUAGGCGACGAUCCCUAGCUGGUCUGAGAGGAUGACCAGCCACACUGGAACUGAGACACGGUCCAGACUCCUACGGGAGGCAGCAGUGGGGAAUAUUGCACAAUGGGCGCAAGCCUGAUGCAGCCAUGCCGCGUGUAUGAAGAAGGCCUUCGGGUUGUAAAGUACUUUCGGCGGGGAGGAAGGGAGUAAAGUUAA